This 71-nucleotide transfer RNA is filed under the name Marmota monax (woodchuck). It matches the Rfam family "tRNA". Rfam says of the family: Transfer RNA (tRNA) molecules are approximately 80 nucleotides in length. Their secondary structure includes four short double-helical elements and three loops (D, anti-codon, and T loops). RNAcentral also lists the same sequence under 1 other name. Lineage: Eukaryota; Metazoa; Chordata; Mammalia; Rodentia; Sciuridae. The record is from Rfam by way of RNAcentral.
GUGAUUGUAGCUCAGUGAUAGAGCACUUGUCUAGUAUAUUUGAGAUACUGAGUUUGAUUCUCAGUACCACA